GACGAACGCUGGCGGCGUGCCUAAUACAUGCAAGUCGAACGAGUGGCGGACGGGUGAGUAAUGUCUGGGAAACUGCCUGAUGGAGGGGGAUAACUACUGGAAACGGUAGCUAAUACCGCAUACCAUCAGAUGUGCCCAGAUGGGCUUAGCUAGUUGGUGGGGUAACGGCUCACCAAGGCGACGAUCCCUAGCUGGUCUGAGAGGAUGACCAGCCACAUGGGAACUGAGACACGGGCCAGACUCCUACGGGAGGCAGCAGUGGGGAAUAUUGCACAAUGGGCGCAAGCCUGAUGCAGCCAGGCCGCGUGUAUGAAGAAGGCCUUCGGGUUGUAAAGUACUUUCAGCGGGGAGGCGUGACCCGCAGAAGAAGCACCGGCUAACUCCGUGCCAGCAGCCGCGGUAAUUC
Molecule: ribosomal RNA, 406 nt
Filed under: uncultured bacterium
Lineage: Bacteria
Description: partial 16S ribosomal RNA
Rfam family: Bacterial small subunit ribosomal RNA
Source: RNAcentral